Molecule: ribosomal RNA, 253 nt
Filed under: uncultured bacterium
Lineage: Bacteria
Description: partial 16S ribosomal RNA
Rfam family: Bacterial small subunit ribosomal RNA
Source: RNAcentral
UACGGAGGGUGCGAGCGUUGUUCGGAAUCACUGGGCGUAAAGCGCGUGUAGGCGGCCCAUUAAGUCUGAUGUGAAAGCCCGGGGCUCACCCCCGGAAGUGCAUUGGAAACUGAUGGACUCGAGUCCCGGAGAGGAGAGUGGAAUUCCUGGUGUAGCGGUGAAAUGCGUAGAUAUCAGGAGGAACACCGGUGGCGAAGGCGGCUCUCUGGACGGUGACUGACGCUGAGACGCGAAAGCGCGGGGAGCAAACAGG